GACGAACGCUGGCGGCGUGCUUAACACAUGCAAGUCGAACGGACAGGCCCUGCUUUUGUGGGGUGCUCGAGUGGCGAACGGGUGAGUAACACGUGAGUAACCUGCCCUUGACUUUGGGAUAACUUCAGGAAAAUGGGGCUAAUACCGGAUAGGAGCUCCUGCUGCAUGGUGGGGGUUGGAAAGUUUCGGCGGUUGGGGAUGGACUCGCGGCUUAUCAGCUUGUUGGUGGGGUAGUGGCUUACCAAGGCUUUGACGGGUAGCCGGCCUGAGAGGGUGACCGGCCACAUUGGGACUGAGAUACGGCCCAGACUCCUACGGGACGCAGCAGUGGGGAAUAUUGCACAAUGGGCGGAAGCCUGAUGCAGCAACGCCGCGUGCGGGAUGACGGCCUUCGGGUUGUAAACCGCUUUCGCCUGUGACGAAGCGUGAGUGACGGUAAUGGGUAAAGAAGCACCGGCUAACUACGUG
This 468-nucleotide ribosomal RNA is filed under the name uncultured bacterium. RNAcentral's name for it is "partial 16S ribosomal RNA". It matches the Rfam family "Bacterial small subunit ribosomal RNA", at positions 28 to 507 of the family's 1533-position model. The record is from RNAcentral.